AGUGAACUGUGCGAUCAGGAUCCUUUCCCAGAGCCCUCCCAGCAAGACAGAGGCAGAUAGCGGUGAGGCUCUGGUGACCAAGAGACAUGGCUGAAACAGAAGUCGGGAAGUCUGUAUCCGAGUUUCCAGAUACCCUCAGCCCUUCUCCAAUCGACACAAAGCAGCCAGUAAAGCAGAUUGGAGAAGAAAGUGGGGGAAAGGCCGACAGGAGCUCUGAGGUCUCUCCAGGGGGAGAAGAAAACAAAAGGCAGAGUCGAGAGGACAAGGAACCCAGACAGAAGAGACCUAGGCAAUGUUCGGGUGGAUCCUUCAGCAGACCGCACCACCGCCGCGCCAGGGGUCACCUUGAAGACAAGAGCAGGGCGAGCCCACCUCCCGCCAGAGACAGAGGAAGGCACAAGCCCCAGUCGACCCCAGCAAAACAACACUGGGCAAGAGGU
This 440-nucleotide long non-coding RNA is filed under the name Cricetulus griseus (Chinese hamster). RNAcentral's name for it is "lncRNA (ENSCGRG00000026357.1)". The record is from RNAcentral. Lineage: Eukaryota; Metazoa; Chordata; Mammalia; Rodentia; Cricetidae.